Molecule: small RNA, 191 nt
Filed under: Arabidopsis thaliana (thale cress)
Lineage: Eukaryota; Viridiplantae; Streptophyta; Magnoliopsida; Brassicales; Brassicaceae
Description: ATSL168070
Source: RNAcentral
UAAAAAGUGUCGCUCCAAAUCAAAACUUAUCUCCGUAACACUUGCGAAAUGGUUAAGAUAGGAAAUAUUCUGCUUUUCAAAUUUCAGUUUGUGGGGCGAAAUUAAAGGAAGUAGAAGAAUAGAAGAAUAUAAACCAUAUCCUUUUUUAAAUAAGUAUCCACGAUUUCUCCCCAGUUUAGAAAUUAUUCCUU